This 253-nucleotide ribosomal RNA is filed under the name uncultured bacterium. RNAcentral's name for it is "partial 16S ribosomal RNA". It matches the Rfam family "Bacterial small subunit ribosomal RNA", at positions 524 to 776 of the family's 1533-position model. The record is from RNAcentral.
UACAGAGGUGGCAAGCGUUGUUCGGAAUUACUGGGCGUAAAGGGCGCGUAGGCGGCCUACUAAGUCAGACGUGAAAUCCCCCGGCUUAACCUGGGAACUGCGUCUGAUACUGGAAGGCUUGAGUAUGGGAGAGGGAUGUAGAAUUCCAGGUGUAGCGGUGAAAUGCGUAGAUAUCGUGAGGAAGACCAGUGGCGAAGGCGGGUCUCUGGACAGUUCCUGACACUGAGGCACGAAGGCCAGGGGAGCAAACGGG